UACGGGGGGGGCAAGCGUUGUUCGGAAUUACUGGGCGUAAAGGGCCCGUAGGCGGCCAACUAAGUCAGACGUGAAAUCCCUCGGCUUAACCGGGGAACUGCGUCUGAUACUGGAUGGCUAGAGGUUGGGAGAGGGAUGCGGAAUUCCAGGUGUAGCGGUGAAAUGCGUAGAUAUCUGGAGGAACACCUGAGGUGAAGACGGGUUGCUGGGCCGACACUGACGCUGAGUGCGCGAAAGCCAGGGGAGCAAACGGG
This 254-nucleotide ribosomal RNA is filed under the name uncultured bacterium. RNAcentral's name for it is "partial 16S ribosomal RNA". It matches the Rfam family "Bacterial small subunit ribosomal RNA", at positions 524 to 776 of the family's 1533-position model. The record is from RNAcentral.